GAGGGUAUAGCUAAGUGGUAGAGUAUAUGCUUAGCAUGCACAAGGUCCUGAGUUCAAUCCCCAGUACCUCCA
This is a transfer RNA of Camelus ferus (Wild Bactrian camel), 72 nucleotides long. It matches the Rfam family "tRNA". Rfam says of the family: Transfer RNA (tRNA) molecules are approximately 80 nucleotides in length. Their secondary structure includes four short double-helical elements and three loops (D, anti-codon, and T loops). Lineage: Eukaryota; Metazoa; Chordata; Mammalia; Artiodactyla; Camelidae. The record is from Rfam.